Molecule: ribosomal RNA, 468 nt
Filed under: uncultured bacterium
Lineage: Bacteria
Description: partial 16S ribosomal RNA
Rfam family: Bacterial small subunit ribosomal RNA
Source: RNAcentral
GACGAACGCUGGCGGCGUGCUUAACACAUGCGAGUCGAACGGAAAGGCCCUGCUUUUGUGGGGUGCUCGAGUGGCGAACGGGUGAGUAACACGUGAGUAACCUGCCCUUGACUUUGGGAUAACUUCAGGAAACUGGGGCUAAUACCGGAUAGGAGCUCCUGCUGCAUGGUGGGGGUUGGAAAGUUUCGGCGGUUGGGGAUGGACUCGCGGCUUAUCAGCUUGUUGGUGGGGUAGUGGCUUACCAAGGCUUUGACGGGUAGCCGGCCUGAGAGGGUGACCGGACACAUUGGGACUGAGAUACGGCCCAGACUCCUACGGGAGGCAGCAGUGGGGAAUAUUGCACAAUGGGCGGAAGCCUGAUGCAGCAACGCCGCGUGCGGGAUGACGGCCUUCGGGUUGUAAACCGCUUUCGCCUGUGACGAAGCGUGAGUGACGGUAAUGGGUAAAGAAGCACCGGCUAACUACGUG